AGUGAACGCUGGCGGUAGGCCUAACACAUGCAAGUCGAACGGCAGCACAGUAAUAGCUUGCUCUUACGGGUGGCGAGUGGCGGACGGGGGAGGAAUACAUCGGAAGCUACUUUUUCGUGGGGGAGAACGUAGGGAAACUUACGCUAAUACCGCAUACGACCUACGGGUGAAAUCAUGGGAUCUUCGGACCUUGCGCGAUUGAAUGAGCCGAUGUCGGAUUAGCUAGUUGGCGGGGUAAAGGCCCACCAAGGCGACGAUCCGUAGCUGGUCUGAGAGGAUGAUCAGCCACACUGGAACUGAGACACGGUCCAGACUCCUACGGGAGGCAGCAGUGGGGAAUAUUGGACAAUGGGCGCAAGCCUGAUCCAGCCAUACCGCGUGGGUGAAGAAGGCCUUCGGGUUGUAAAGCCCUUUUGUUGGGAAAGAAAAGCAGCAGGUUAAUACCCUGCUGUUCUGACGGUACCCAAAGAAUAAGCACCGGCUAACUUCGUG
Molecule: ribosomal RNA, 492 nt
Filed under: uncultured bacterium
Lineage: Bacteria
Description: partial 16S ribosomal RNA
Rfam family: Bacterial small subunit ribosomal RNA
Source: RNAcentral